RNAcentral lists this ribosomal RNA (257 nucleotides) under uncultured bacterium. RNAcentral describes it as "partial 16S ribosomal RNA". It matches the Rfam family "Bacterial small subunit ribosomal RNA", at positions 526 to 779 of the family's 1533-position model. The record is from RNAcentral.
CGGAGGGUGCAAGCGUUAUCCGGAUUCACUGGGUUUAAAGGGAGCGCAGGCGGAUUUGUAAGUCAGUGGUGAAAGGCUUAAGCUUAACUUGGGAACUGCCAUUGAUACUAUAAAGUCUUGAAUGUUGUUGAGGUUUGCGGAAUGGGUCAUGUAGCGGUGAAAUGCAUAGAUAUGACCCGGAACACCUAUUGCGAAGGCAGCAGGCUAAACAAAUAUUGACGCUGAGGCUCGAAAGCGUGGGGGAUCAAAACAGGAUU